RNAcentral lists this long non-coding RNA (504 nucleotides) under Homo sapiens (human). Its description in RNAcentral is "novel transcript, antisense to USP22". The record is from RNAcentral. Lineage: Eukaryota; Metazoa; Chordata; Mammalia; Primates; Hominidae.
UUUUUCUUCAUUUUUAUUUUCAAACUUACAGUAAACAAAACAAUCACUUAAAUUGUCAAAAGAACAGCAAUUUUACACAAUGAAGAGCAUACACACCAAGCCAAAAUACAAUAGCACUCAGGUCUAUAUGUUGCAGUGGUGCUGGCGCUGGAGGGAAUGCCCAGGGAGGCUGCAGUGCUCACCACGAAGCCCAGGUCCACGGAGGGAGCCAAGGUCCACAGAGGGCCCCGGGGCCAGAGGGAGGCCGCCCACACUCCCAGCACAUCACCUGCCUCAAAGCACUCCCUUCAGGCCAUUUUAACACUGCUGUGAAUGUGCUGGGGUCACCAAGGGGGCCCCUUAGUGGUCAGAUGCACUUUGUCACAAUGUACACCUACAUGGGGUGAUUACUAGGCAACGGGAGGUUUCCUGAAUUUCACAGCCAGAUGGGGAGCUAAAAGAAAUUCCUGAACCCAACGCGUAAAUAUUUUGUUCUGACAAAGUAAAUUCACAAGAACACAUCAA